AUUCCUUCUCCAGAACCUUGGGAAAGACCAGAGUGGGAAAAUCUCUUUUCCAGAACAUUGGGAGAGACCAAACUGGGAAAAUUCCUUCUCCAGAACAUUGGGAGAGGCCAGAGUGGAGGAAUUCCUUGUCCAGAAGAUUGGGAAAAGCUGAAGUGGAGGAAUUCCUUCUCCAGAAUCUUGGGAGAGACCAAACUGGGAAAAUUCCUUCUCCAGAAUCUUGGGAGAGGCCCGAGUGGGAGAAUCCCUUUUCCAGCUGGAUGAUCCUGGGGUCUCAGGUUACCCCUCUGAAGAAAUUCUGUUUGCCAGAAGUUUUCUAUCCUGGGCUGCACUUGAAUCUCAAUAAUGAAGAAAAGCAGAAGUGUCAUGACAGUGACUGCAGAUGAGAACUCCCUGGAUUACCUGGAAUGCGGGCUCAGCAAAUCCUACAGCACCUCCAGCCACGCCCUGGGCAUCGACCUGUGGCGGGGCCGCCGCUGCUGCUCGGGCCCCCCCCCCCCCCCCCCCCCCCCCCCCCUGCUGCUCGGGCUCGCUGCAGCUGCCGCCGCUGGCCCAGCGGCAGACGGAGCUAGCCCGGAGCCCGGAGAGGGAGCCGGUGUGCCGGCCCACCACCCUGCCCCUGCUGCCGCCGCCCAGCAUCGCCAUCACCGCCUGCCACGACUGGUGAGUCUCCUGCCCCUGCCCCUGUCCCUGCUCCUGUCCCUGCUCCUGCUCCUGCUCCUGCCCCUGUUCCUGUUCCUGCUCCUGCCCCUGUCCUUGUCCCUGUCCCUGCUCCUGCUCCUGCUCCUGUCCCUGCUCCUGUCCCUGCUCCUGUCCCUGUCCUGCUCCUGCUCCUGCCCCUGUUCCUGCUCCUGCCCCUGCUCCUGUUCCUGCUCCUGGCUGUUUACCCUCCAUGGAACAAAAUCUCUGUGCAGUUGUUUGCAUUGCAAUAGCAGAUUAUAUCUGUUUAUUUUUCUAGCAUUCAGAAAUGGAUUGUGGCAUUCAUCAUAAGAAAACAAAAACUCAGGAUUCUGGUAGGACCCAGGAGCAGCAAGAGCAGGAGACCAGUCUUGCAAACACCCUGGAGCAUAUUAUAGGACAGCUGGAUGUUCUGACUCAGGUAUGGUUUGCUUUUUAAUUUGUUAUUGACAAGGGUACCUGUGACUGGAAGAAUUUGGAAUGUCUUGAAACAGUUUAAU
This 1175-nucleotide long non-coding RNA is filed under the name Ficedula albicollis (Collared flycatcher). RNAcentral describes it as "lncRNA (ENSFALG00000023726.1)". The record is from RNAcentral. Lineage: Eukaryota; Metazoa; Chordata; Aves; Passeriformes; Muscicapidae.